RNAcentral lists this ribosomal RNA (253 nucleotides) under uncultured bacterium. RNAcentral's name for it is "partial 16S ribosomal RNA". It matches the Rfam family "Bacterial small subunit ribosomal RNA", at positions 524 to 776 of the family's 1533-position model. The record is from RNAcentral.
UACGGAGGAUGCAAGCGUUAUCCGGAAUGAUUGGGCGUAAAGCGUCCGCAGGUGGCGAUGUAAGUCUGCUGUUAAAGAGUGAGGCUCAACCUCAUAAGAGCAGUGGAAACUACAUAGCUAGAGUGCGGUAGGGGCAGAGGGAAUUCCUGGUGUAGCGGUGAAAUGCGUAGAGAUCAAGAGGAACACCAGUGGCGAAGGCGAGUCCCUGGACAACACCUGACACUGAGGCACGAAAGCUAGGGGAGCAAACAGG